This 367-nucleotide long non-coding RNA is filed under the name Rattus norvegicus (Norway rat). RNAcentral's name for it is "long non-coding RNA NONRATT015849". Lineage: Eukaryota; Metazoa; Chordata; Mammalia; Rodentia; Muridae. The record is from RNAcentral.
CUAAGGGAGAAGAAGGACCAAUUGGACCCUUUGGAGAACUGGGAUCUAGGGGAAAACCAGGUCGAAAAGGGUAUAUGGGUGAACCAGGGCCAGAAGGCUUAAAGGGAGAAACGGGAGACCAAGGAGAUAUUGGGAAAAUUGGCGAAACAGGGACCUGUUGGUUUACCUGGAGAAGUAGGGAUAACCGGAAGCAUUGGCGAAAAGGGAGAACGUGGAAGUCCAGGCCCACUUGGUCCCCAGGGGGAAAAAGGUGUCAUGGGUUACCCAGGUCCUCCUGGGGCUCCAGGACCCAUGGGCCCAAUUGGAUUACCUGGUCUUGUUGGAGCAAGAGGCGCGCCCGGGAGCCCAGGUCCUAAAGGACAAAGAG